GGAAAGGAGUUGGUUAUAAAUUGAAGAUGGUGCAAUCGGCUGGGACUCAGGAACACACCUUCUCGUGGACUGCUCUAAAGGACCUCUCUGACCAUCUAACAAAGACAACGCUAUCCAGGAGGAGGCCGAGCUUUUCUUGGGGGUAAUCGGCUUGUGGUUAAAAUGCCCCAAGCCCAACCUGAGGAAGAGACAGGGGAGCCUGGAGAAAGUCCUUGUCAGAAACCACGCGAUGGUUAUGCCAAUUACCUAAGGGCCGCCAGGAAGGUAAGAGGGAGCGGCCCUGCCAGGGACACCCUCCACCACAUCCAGUUGGCAGAUGGAGCUUAGCUAGAGCAACCGCAGGGGAGCAUCCCCGCCACCACCGCCUGCGCCGCCCGCCGGAAGUUAUCCUCACACCUGGUAGAAGUUGUGAGGUAUCCACGGGGACAACAGAGCCUGUGCUGAGCUGUAUUUCAAAGCGCCAAAUGACACAGGUAGAGAGGAAGCCAACCACCUUACUCCAGCCACAGCCCAGGAAGCCAGAGAACAGAAACGCAUCUGGUGUCAUCAGCAUCUGGGACAAGGCUUCCCAGCAGGAACAGUGUGACUAAGGAAAAGACCCCAGAGGACUCUGGCCCCACCUCUCAUAGCGGAGGAAGACGUUGUUGAGGUCAUCGUUGACAUGCAGCAGCUCCUCGGUGACCUCCUCAUUGGACACUCGGGAG
Molecule: non-coding RNA, 704 nt
Organism: Peromyscus maniculatus bairdii (prairie deer mouse)
Lineage: Eukaryota; Metazoa; Chordata; Mammalia; Rodentia; Cricetidae
Source: RefSeq, a predicted model, not a curated record